UUGAUGGUUGUGAGCCACCAUGUGCUUGCUGGGAAUUGAACUCAGGACCUCUGGAAAAACGGCAGAAAAGAACAAGAGAGAGUGGAAUGUGCUUUGCAAGUACACUGGAGAAGAGAGGAAACCUAAGAUCAGGAUGGAGCUAGCAAAGGCAAAGGAGAACAGAUAGUGAAUGAGUUUUCCAGGAGAGAAGAAAGAGCAAACAAAAGGAGCUGGCAGAGAUCUCUGAGGCCACCCACACAAAAUCCCUCUAUGGCUCUGAAAAGAAAAACAGCAGCCCUAAUUGUCUUCGGCAGUGAGUUCCUGAAUCUUUUGGAGGGCAGUGCUGAAGGGUUCAGGAUGGAGUCAGUUUCUUCAUGCUUGGCUCUCCUCGGAUGCCCGGCUCAGCCAGCUCCAGUUUCAUUU
Non-coding RNA from Peromyscus maniculatus bairdii (prairie deer mouse), 402 nucleotides. NCBI's taxonomy places the organism in Eukaryota, Metazoa, Chordata, Mammalia, Rodentia, Cricetidae. The record is from RefSeq and is a predicted model, not a curated record.